Molecule: non-coding RNA, 21 nt
Organism: Caenorhabditis elegans
Lineage: Eukaryota; Metazoa; Nematoda; Chromadorea; Rhabditida; Rhabditidae
Source: Ensembl
UCCAUAAUUAUGUAGUUUUAU